ACGCUCGACACCUACGGGAGUCAUCAGUGGGGAAUAUUGCACAAUGGGGGAAACCCUGAUGCAGCGACGCCGCGUGAGCGAAGAAGUAUCUCGGUAUGUAAAGCUCUAUCAGCAGGGAAGAAGAUGACGGUACCUGACUAAGAAGCACCGGCUAAAUACGUGCCAGCAGCCGCGGUAAUCUGAGCGGGCUGGCAAGGC
Molecule: ribosomal RNA, 198 nt
Filed under: uncultured bacterium
Lineage: Bacteria
Description: partial 16S ribosomal RNA
Rfam family: Bacterial small subunit ribosomal RNA
Source: RNAcentral